UACGGAGGGUGCAAGCGUUAUCCGGAUUCACUGGGUUUAAAGGGUGCGUAGGCGGGCUGGUAAGUCAGUGGUGAAAUCUUCGGGCUUAACCCGGAAACUGCCGUUGAUACUAUCUGUCUUGAAUAUUGUGGAGGUAAGCGGAAUAUGUCAUGUAGCGGUGAAAUGCUUAGAUAUGACAUAGAACACCAAUUGCGAAGGCAGCUUACUACACAGUAACUGACGCUGAGGCACGAAAGCGUGGGGAGCAAACAGG
Molecule: ribosomal RNA, 253 nt
Filed under: uncultured bacterium
Lineage: Bacteria
Description: partial 16S ribosomal RNA
Rfam family: Bacterial small subunit ribosomal RNA
Source: RNAcentral